GCCGAGGUAGCUCAGUGGUAGAGCAGUGGACUGAAAAUCCUCGUGUCGGUGGUUCGACUCCGCCCCUCGGCA
This 72-nucleotide transfer RNA is filed under the name Chloroflexota bacterium. RNAcentral's name for it is "Chloroflexi bacterium tRNA-Phe". It matches the Rfam family "tRNA". Rfam says of the family: Transfer RNA (tRNA) molecules are approximately 80 nucleotides in length. The record is from RNAcentral. Lineage: Bacteria; Bacillati; Chloroflexota.